Molecule: ribosomal RNA, 460 nt
Filed under: uncultured bacterium
Lineage: Bacteria
Description: partial 16S ribosomal RNA
Rfam family: Bacterial small subunit ribosomal RNA
Source: RNAcentral
CCUACGGGUGGCAGCAGUGAGGAAUAUUGGUCAAUGGACGAGAGUCUGAACCAGCCAAGUAGCGUGAAGGAUGACUGCCCUAUGGGUUGUAAACUUCUUUUAUAUGGGAAUAAAAUGUUCCACGUGUGGGAUUUUGUAUGUACCAUGUGAAUAAGGAUCGGCUAACUCCGUGCCAGCAGCCGCGGUAAUACGGAGGAUCCGAGCGUUAUCCGGAUUUAUUGGGUUUAAAGGGAGCGUAGGUGGAUUGUUAAGUCAGUUGUGAAAGUUUGCGGCUCAACCGUAAAAUUGCAGUUGAAACUGGCAGUCUUGAGUACAGUAGAGGUGGGCGGAAUUCGUGGUGUAGCGGUGAAAUGCUUAGAUAUCACGAAGAACUCCGAUUGCGAAGGCAGUUCACUGGACUGCAACUGACACUGAGGCUCGAAAGUGUGGGUAUCAAACAGGAUUAGAUACCCGAGUAGUC